Molecule: ribosomal RNA, 423 nt
Filed under: Bacillus sp. (in: firmicutes)
Lineage: Bacteria; Bacillati; Bacillota; Bacilli; Caryophanales; Bacillaceae
Description: bacterial SSU rRNA
Rfam family: Bacterial small subunit ribosomal RNA
Source: RNAcentral
CAACGCCGCGUGAGUGAUGAAGGCUUUCGGGUCGUAAAAUUCUGUUGUUAGGGAAGAACAAGUACAAGAGUAUCUGCUUGUACCUUGACGGUACCUAACCAGAAAGCCACGGCUAACUACGUGCCAGCAGCCGCGGUAAUACGUAGGUGGCAAGCGUUAUCCGGAAUUAUUGGGCGUAAAGCGCGCGCAGGCGGUUUCUUAAGUCUGAUGUGAAAGCCCACGGCUCAACCGUGGAGGGUCAUUGGAAACUGGGGAACUUGAGUGCAGAAGAGAAAAGCGGAAUUCCACGUGUAGCGGUGAAAUGCGUAGAGAUGUGGAGGAACACCAGUGGCGAAGGCGGCUUUUUGGUCUGUAACUGACGCUGAGGCGCGAAAGCGUGGGGAGCAAACAGGAUUAGAUACCCUGGUAGUCCACGCCGUAAAC